RNAcentral lists this long non-coding RNA (857 nucleotides) under Lynx pardinus (Iberian lynx). Lineage: Eukaryota; Metazoa; Chordata; Mammalia; Carnivora; Felidae. The record is from RNAcentral.
UGCCCCAACCCCAGCCCAACCAGCUCUCCUUUUCUCCACUCUCCGGGGUUGGGCUUGGGGGACCUUCUUAUGCCGGUGCCUUGGGGAGGUGAACAUCACCACGAUCUCCAGUGCAGCCCCAUUCUAGAAGGCAGAUCAGGAGGUAGGUGUUCAUUCCUCAGAGGACAGCUAAAAUGGGUUGGUCAGGGCUUCCCUUGGCUGUUAAGUAGAAGUUACUCGCCUUGGAGCACCGCGUGCCUGCUUCUGGUUUGGGAUUGGUGAGAAUUUCAAAGAUGCCUCUUUCUGGUUUGGGAUUGGUGGAAAAUCUCCCCUUCCACUUAACUGCUGCCCUACCCCCACCCUCACCCCUUCGGGCGAACUGACCGGAGACAGCCCCCAGGAGCUGAAACAGGGUGGAGUAAGUGAACUGGAUGUACACGUGGGGAGGGGGGUUGUCAGUGUCCAGGCGUCACUCUCAGGCCGUAUACCACACAGGGCACAGAGACCUGGACCUGCCCAAGCGGCAUUUCCUGAGAACACACUGAUCAGCACACAGAUGGCUCUUCCUGGCACCCCGGGUCUGUCAGCUGGCAGGUUCCCCCCUCCCACAACUGGCACCCACAGCUGGAGCUCCUCCACACAGCUGGCGCUCGCCCUACAUUUCUGGUGCCCGUUCUACCCAGGCUGUCGUUGACACCUCACUUUCCGAGCCUCCAACGGCACUGACCUCCGCAUCCCUCCUCCCCAGUCUGCGACAGGUGGCACGUACCUGCCUCUUCUCCGAGGAUGGACGAGUCGAGCCGGGCACAAGCAUGGAGCUGCGGGUGAGUCCCGGCUGGUACUGGCGCGGCGCAGUGAGCAGCAGCUGACGCAGAGGG